UGGAGGUGCAGGCUACAGCUAAACGUGUGGAGGAGGUGGAGGUGCAGGCUACAGCUAAACGUGUGGAGGAGGUGGAGGUGCAGGCUACAGCUAAACGUGUGGAGGAGGUGGAGGUGCAGGCUACAGCUAAACGUGUGGAGGAGGUGGAGGUGCAGGCUACAGCUAAACGUGUGGAGGAGGUGGAGGUGCAGGCUACAGCUAAACGUGUGGAGGAGGUGGAGGUACAGGCUACAGCUAAACGUGUGGAGGAGGUGGAGGUACAGGCUACAGCUAAACGUGUGGAGGAGGAGGAGGUACAGGCUACAGCUAAACGUGUGGAGGAGGUGGAGGUGUAGGCUACAGCUAAACGUGUGGAGGAGGUGGAGGUGUAGGCUACAGCUAAACGUGUGGAGGAGGAGGAGGUGCAGGCUACAGCUAAACGUGUGGAGGAGGAGGUGGAGGUGCAGGCUACAGCU
This is a long non-coding RNA of Oncorhynchus keta (chum salmon), 455 nucleotides long. RefSeq lists it as uncharacterized. The record is from RefSeq and is a predicted model, not a curated record. The transcript is spliced from 3 exons. Lineage: Eukaryota; Metazoa; Chordata; Actinopteri; Salmoniformes; Salmonidae.